AUUGAACGCUGGCGGCAGGCCUAACACAUGCAAGUCGAGCGGGCGGCGGGCGGGUGAGUAAUUUAUGGGUGUCUACUCGCUCAGGGGGGGUAAAUACUGGAAACGAUAGCUAAUUCCUCCUACUAUCGAUUGGACACGUAUGGGAUUAGCUAGUAGGUGAGGGAAUGGCUCACCUAGGCGACGAUCCCUCGCUGGUCUGAGAGGAUGAUCAGCCACACUGGAACUGAGACACGGCCCAGACUCCUACGGGAGGCAGCAGUGGGGAAUAUUGCACAAUGGGCGCAAGCCUGAUGCAGCCAUGCCGCGUGUAUGAAGAAGGCCUUAGGGUUGUAAAGUACUUUCAGCCGGGAGGCGUUACCGACAGAAGAAGCACCGGCUAACUCCGUGCCAGCAGCCGCGGUAAUAC
Molecule: ribosomal RNA, 406 nt
Filed under: uncultured bacterium
Lineage: Bacteria
Description: partial 16S ribosomal RNA
Rfam family: Bacterial small subunit ribosomal RNA
Source: RNAcentral